CCACCCAAAGAAUAGAAAUACCUGACAGUUGCCCGUUUAACACCGGUGGAGUAAUUAUUAAACCCCCCUUUUUUACUAUAUUGCUAAUCCAAACCCAAACUGUCCGAUACAGAGCAGCGCCAGCGUUCAACCAGCAGAGAGCGCAAUCGGGUCACCAUAUCCAUCUCGGUGGCUCCACCCAUGCCCACAUUCCCCUCCCCUCACUCCAUCAGGAGACAGGACCAGAGGAGUCGACACUCACAUAUGCAGGAGAGACCUUCGAGGGAGGUGGAGUCUCAGCCAGCACAGAGAAAGGUAAGUGAUAACAGGGUGACUUAAAAGAUAUGAAGUGUUCUCAGUAUGCUUGGGUUAGAUUUUUUUUUCAGGUGUUAAGCAGGUCAUGGG
Long non-coding RNA from Ictalurus punctatus (channel catfish), 384 nucleotides. The record is from Ensembl. Lineage: Eukaryota; Metazoa; Chordata; Actinopteri; Siluriformes; Ictaluridae.